UACGUAGGGGGCGAGCGUUGUCCGGAUUUAUUGGGCGUAAAGAGCUCGUAGGCGGUUUGGCAAGUCGGGUGUGAAAACUCCGGGCUCAACUCGGAGACGCCACUCGAUACUGCCAUGACUCGAGUCCGGUAGGGGAGUGCGGAAUUCCUGGUGUAGCGGUGAAAUGCGCAGAUAUCAGGAGGAACACCGGUGGCGAAGGCGGCACUCUGGGCCGGUACUGACGCCGAGGAGCGAAAGCGUGGGGAGCGAACAGG
Molecule: ribosomal RNA, 254 nt
Filed under: uncultured bacterium
Lineage: Bacteria
Description: partial 16S ribosomal RNA
Rfam family: Bacterial small subunit ribosomal RNA
Source: RNAcentral